This 469-nucleotide ribosomal RNA is filed under the name uncultured Anaerolineaceae bacterium. Its description in RNAcentral is "bacterial SSU rRNA". It matches the Rfam family "Bacterial small subunit ribosomal RNA", at positions 897 to 1382 of the family's 1533-position model. Lineage: Bacteria; Bacillati; Chloroflexota; Anaerolineae; Anaerolineales; Anaerolineaceae. The record is from RNAcentral.
AAACUUAAAUGAAUUGACGGGACCCGCACAAGCAGCGGAGCGUGUGGUUUAAUUCGUUGCUACACGAAGAACCUUACCUGGGUUUGACAUAUAGGUUGUAGGGAACUGAAAGGGACCGACCCUUCGGGGAGCCUAUACAGGUGUUGCAUGGCUGUCGUCAGCUCGUGUCGUGAGAUGUUCGGUUAAGUCCGCUAACGAGCGCAACCCUCGUCGUAUGUUAUAUGUGUCAUACGAGACUGCCGGUAAAAGCCGGAGGAAGGUGAGGAUGAUGUCAAGUCAGCAUGACCUUUAUAUCCAGGGCUACACACACGCUACAAUGGUCUGUACAAUGGGUAGCCAAGCCGCGAGGCGGAGCCAAUCCUGAAAGCAGGCCUCAGUUCAGAUUGCAGGCUGCAACUCGCCUGCAUGAAGUUGGAGUUGCUAGUAAACGCAGGUCAGCCAUACUGCGUUGAAUACGUUCCCGGGGCUU